UACGUAGGUGGCAAGCGUUAUCCGGAUUUAUUGGGCGUAAAGGGAACGCAGGCGGUCUUUUAAGUCUGAUGUGAAAGCCUUCGGCUUAACCGGAGUAGUGCAUUUCAAACUGGAAGUCUAGAGUGCAGGAGAGGAGAAUGGAAUUCCCAGUGUAGCGGUGAAAUGCGUAGAGAUUAGGAAGAACACCAGUGGCGAAGGCGGUUCUCUGGACUGUAACUGACGCUGAGGCUCGAAAGCGUGGGGAGCAAACAGG
This 253-nucleotide ribosomal RNA is filed under the name uncultured bacterium. Its description in RNAcentral is "partial 16S ribosomal RNA". It matches the Rfam family "Bacterial small subunit ribosomal RNA", at positions 524 to 776 of the family's 1533-position model. The record is from RNAcentral.